GACGAACGCUGGCGGCGUGCCUAAUACAUGCAAGUAGAACGCUGAAGAGAGGAGCUUGCUCUUCUUGGAUGAGUUGCGAACGGGUGAGUAACGCGUAGGUAACCUGCCUUGUAGCGGGGGAUAACUAUUGGAAACGAUAGCUAAUACCGCAUAACAAUGGAUGACACAUGUCAUUUAUUUGAAAGGGGCAAUUGCUCCACUACAAGAUGGACCUGCGUUGUAUUAGCUAGUAGGUGAGGUAAUGGCUCACCUAGGCGACGAUACAUAGCCGACCUGAGAGGGUGAUCGGCCACACUGGGACUGAGACACGGCCCAGACUCCUACGGGAGGCAGCAGUAGGGAAUCUUCGGCAAUGGGGGCAACCCUGACCGAGCAACGCCGCGUGAGUGAAGAAGGGUUUCGGACCGUAAAGAUCUGUUGUAAGUCAAGAACGGGUGUGAGAGUGGAAAGUUCACACUGUGACGGUAGCUUACCAGAAAGGGACGGCUAACUACGUG
RNAcentral lists this ribosomal RNA (497 nucleotides) under uncultured bacterium. RNAcentral's name for it is "partial 16S ribosomal RNA". It matches the Rfam family "Bacterial small subunit ribosomal RNA", at positions 28 to 507 of the family's 1533-position model. The record is from RNAcentral.